Long non-coding RNA from Electrophorus electricus (electric eel), 906 nucleotides. The record is from Ensembl. Lineage: Eukaryota; Metazoa; Chordata; Actinopteri; Gymnotiformes; Gymnotidae.
AUUAUUAUGGCAGUUCUCAAUGUCUGUUGUCUGUUUUAAGUCUGUUGUUCCUCUAACCAGUUCUCCUGCUUCCAUAGUAACCGUGCCUUACGCAGAGCCAGUUGUAACUCAUGUCGUCCUCCAUUCUGCAGUCUGAGAUGCUCAUGAAAAGUUCUUUCAUGCCCAUGGACUUCUUCUGUAUCAUGAAGUCUGGGAGGGGUCUUCUCCUCGGAACAGGUGACAAAGGUCAUAGCACACCCAUGGGUGUGACAGGCUUCAGCAUGGGCAUCACCUGUUCCACAUCCAGUGGCUUUUCUGAAUGUGCCACAACCCCAAGGAGACGCAUAAACCUCCUCUCUUCCACUGACGGGGAGGCAGGGAACAUCCCUGUGUCCGGAGCUAUAGGUGCUCGGAGGUCACUGACUCGCUUUCCAUUGCAUGGGCGGAAGAGGUGUCAUGUGGUAAUGCCAUAGCACGGUUCACGUGGACUAACGGUGCAGAGAGCAGAGCUCGGCCUCAGCGAGGUUUGCAGUAAUGUGGAUGGACAAAGCUAUUUCCAUUCUUUUUGCUUUUUCUGGUUACUUACAGCGUGCCGCUUUGCCACUUAUGAAGUGUGUUGCGCUCACCUGCUGUUUGCAUGUAAAUGACCUAUACAGAAAGCUAUCAGCAGUUAUGUAACCUUGCUGAAAAGGGUUAUUUUCUGUUUUGGAUUGCAUGCUUGUACUGAAUGUCAAAUAACUGUGUAUGUGAAAUGUAAACUGUAUUUAUGUAAACAAUAAACAGAAUUGUUUAUUGCAUGUUGGUGAAUAAGAACCUAAGUGACAGUGUUAUUUCUGUUGCUGUCAUCACGAGUUUCAUAACAAACAUUGCAAUGAAAUUUUAUGUGGUGAACAAAAUGUGGGAAUAAAACUGCAAAAUAUGAAAAGC